Molecule: unclassified non-coding RNA, 1313 nt
Filed under: Hevea brasiliensis (rubber tree)
Lineage: Eukaryota; Viridiplantae; Streptophyta; Magnoliopsida; Malpighiales; Euphorbiaceae
Source: RNAcentral
GUUAUUGCAUCUCCUUUGCUAAGGUGCUGAAGCCGGCAUCUGGUGCUCCUGUUGAUAGCAUUUUUUUGAUAAAUUUUAACAUGUCAAUCGUUAACAAUGUGUUGUUUUCUGUUUGUUUUAUGACUAGCAAUAAAUUCAACAUUUUUUUUACAUUGAAGUCUAGAAAUUUUUUGUUGUGGAUAGGAAGAAAGAGUCUUUUUGUUUUCAGUUAUGAGAAAAUGUUCAUCUAGAAAUUUGUUCUCUUCUGCAUUUGAGAUGCUUAUAUAGUUAAUUGGUUUGGAAAGUUACAUGCUUAAUGACAAAUGUCAUUUGUUUGGUCAACUUGUUCUCACAUUCAUGUUCUUAAUUUUGUUGAGCUUCUAAUGUUUAAUGAGAUUUAUGGACAUUUUCAUGGUUGUAUCCAACUAGAAAGGAAUAAACACCUCUGGUUAAUACUUGUAUCCCUCCUAGAGGAAUACACGAUAUUGAUGCCAUUGUUAUUUAAUGCAGACGCAUGCACAAACAGCAUUCUCAAAGAAACUUGUUGAUCAUUCUCUUGUAAUUUAUCUGUCUCUAAAAUUUCAGCCAUUUUGAUGAUAGAAUGAAGUAUCUGUACUGCACUGUUAGAGUUAGUUGUUUACAACUUUACAUUGACUUCUUUUAGCUUAUGAGUAGCCCUCAUGAGCUAAUUUACUGCUUUUUUUCUGCUUGAUUUAUGUUUGCUUCUGAUAUUUUCCUCAGUUUAAUUAUAUCUCCAGAGUACAUAUGGUAUCUUUGUAUUUUUUUUUAUAAUCAUUCCAAACAGGGUCUCACAAACUUUGCUGGUUAUUGGAUUUUGCGGUCUCUUCUUGGUGUUGAAAAUUCAUUUUAUUUUGUUUGACCAAAAUUUCUGGAGUUCAAAUACAGUACAGGCCUUUUGUUUUUCCUAUCCCACUAAGAAAGAAGAGUUGACUACUGAGAAUAUUAAUUAUUGGCUGUGGUUUCAAUAACCUCAGCAAACUAGUAUCAACAGCUUUUUCAUUUGAGUAGUUUAAUUUUGCUUUGUAAAAGUUCUUACAUUCUUGGGUGGAGUUAAAAUAUUGGAGGUACUGUUUCUAGAGAUAAGUUAUUAUCAAGAAUCUGUUGCAAAAAUAGACUAUCUGCUAUUUCCAAAUUACAUAGAGACAAAUCUUAUAUUGGCUUAAGUGUAGGAAUAUAGGAUUUUUUUGUCCUUUUAGAAAAUUUGGUUGGUUCAUAUUGAUUCUGUGCCCUGAAAAAACGAAUGCUUUUGUAAGAUGUUCUUUCCUAAAGCAAUGAUAACUGUGACUUCUAGGACAUUGCAAACAGCUGUUGGA